This 668-nucleotide long non-coding RNA is filed under the name Anser brachyrhynchus (Pink-footed goose). RNAcentral's name for it is "lncRNA (ENSABRG00000004367.1)". The record is from RNAcentral. Lineage: Eukaryota; Metazoa; Chordata; Aves; Anseriformes; Anatidae.
AAAUACCUGUUCUGCUCAUUGACUGGAGUUCAUAUCUCCAUUUGCAGGGGCCAGAAAGGAACUCUUGCUUGUACUUCAGCUCUCUAAGGCCUCAUUUCUGCACAGGACUGCCAGCCCACCACUUCUGGGAAGGGAGCAAACGGGAAAGAUGAGGGGAAGAUUGAGAGGUGCUGCAUGUAGCUGUAGCUUCAGCGUGGUGUGUGAGGUUUUCUGAACCAUGGGGAGCUCAGCUGGUAGCUGCAGAGUAGUCUUUGUGCCACACCACAGCAGGAGGACCUGACACAGCCAGCUGGAGAAUAGUUCUGAGAGACACACAGUGCAGCCCCAAUCUCUCUGUGACUGUGAUGAGUGUGAGCUACUCCAUGAAAGGUGCUGCUGGGAUAAGACCUUCAACUACUGCUGACAACAAAGGAAGAUACGGGCAUGUGGUCCAUCCUUGGACUGCAGAAGAGGGGCAGACACUUCCCAGAUCUCUCAAGCUCCACCCUGGCCCCAGUGAGAACAGGUAGAUGUGACAGGCCUGGUGCAGUCAGUGUUGCCUCUUCUCCCUUACUGCCAAUCAGUAUGGGAACGGACCUGCAGCAGCAUUGAUGUGGAUGAACAUCUGAGUUUAAGCUGUUUUAGGGGGUGAGCAGGCACAGUGCAAAGCCACACACAGUCACUGUGUG